UACGUAGGGGGCAAGCGUUGUCCGGAAUUAUUGGGCGUAAAGAGCGCGUAGGCGGUCCGAUAAGUCGGCUGUGAAAGUCAGGGGCUCAACCCUUGAAAGCCGGCCGAUACUGUCGGACUAGAGUUCGGAAGAGGCAAGUGGAAUUCCCGGUGUAGCGGUGAAAUGCGCAGAUAUCGGGAAGAACACCCGUGGCGAAGGCGGUUCUCUGGGACGGUACUGACGCUGAGACGCGAAAGCGUGGGGAGCGAACAGG
Molecule: ribosomal RNA, 253 nt
Filed under: uncultured bacterium
Lineage: Bacteria
Description: partial 16S ribosomal RNA
Rfam family: Bacterial small subunit ribosomal RNA
Source: RNAcentral